AUGGUAACGCCGCUUCCUCCUCAGGCCCCGCAGCGGCAGAGUUAUGAAGGAGAUGUUCACCAAUACAAGGAACCGGGAAUGUCUCCUUCUUCUCUCCUCCCUCACCAACUACAACCGGUGUAAGGAGCCGUGUAUACUGCAGGUGGUGUCACUGACCUCAGUGCCGAGUGAUGGCGCUCUACUCUCUGCAGCCACAAGGGCGUGAGGUGAAUGAGAUGACAUGAAUAUUAGAAGAAUACAGGACAUCUGUGAGGCUUUAUGAGACUUAAACCAGAAUGUUCUACACAGUGGGACCAGGCACCAUCAGGACGGCAGGGGAUCAGAGCAGGUUAUCUCCCAGUAAAGUGAUAUAA
This is a long non-coding RNA of Hyla sarda, 353 nucleotides long. RefSeq lists it as uncharacterized. The transcript has 4 exons. The record is from RefSeq and is a predicted model, not a curated record. Lineage: Eukaryota; Metazoa; Chordata; Amphibia; Anura; Hylidae.